GACGAACGCUGGCGGCGUGCUUAACACAUGCAAGUCGAACGCUGAAGCUCAGCUUUUGUUGGGUGGAUGAGUGGCGAACGGGUGAGUAACACGUGAGUAACCUGCCUCCUUCUUUGGGAUAACGCCCGGAAACGGGUGCUAAUACUGGAUAUUCACUGGUCUUCGCAUGGGGGUUGGUGGAAAGGGGUUUUCUGGUGGGGGAUGGGCUCGCGGCCUAUCAGCUUGUUGGUGGGGUGAUGGCCUACCAAGGCUUUGACGGGUAGCCGGCCUGAGAGGGUGACCGGUCACAUUGGGACUGAGAUACGGCCCAGACUCCUACGGGAGGCAGCAGUGGGGAAUAUUGCACAAUGGGCGCAAGCCUGAUGCAGCGACGCCGCGUGAGGGAUGGAGGCCUUCGGGUUGUGAACCUCUUUCGCUCAUGGUCAAGCCGCAACAAUGGUUGUGGUGAGGGUAGUGGGUAAAGAAGCGCCGGCUAACUACGUG
This 483-nucleotide ribosomal RNA is filed under the name uncultured bacterium. Its description in RNAcentral is "partial 16S ribosomal RNA". It matches the Rfam family "Bacterial small subunit ribosomal RNA", at positions 28 to 507 of the family's 1533-position model. The record is from RNAcentral.